This 209-nucleotide ribosomal RNA is filed under the name uncultured bacterium. RNAcentral describes it as "partial 16S ribosomal RNA". It matches the Rfam family "Bacterial small subunit ribosomal RNA", at positions 273 to 524 of the family's 1533-position model. The record is from RNAcentral.
CCUACGGGAGGCAGCAGGGAGCCAGCAGCCGCGGUAAUAUCCUACGGGAGGCAGCAGUGGGGAAUAUUGGACAAUGGGCGAAAGCCUGAUCCGGCCAUGCCGCGUGAGUGAUGAAGGCCCUAGGGUUGUAAAGCUCUUUCACCGGUGAAGAUAAUGACGGUAACCGGAGAAGAAGCCCCGGCUAACUUCGUGCCAGCAGCCGCGGUAAU